CACACACACACACACACUCACACACCCAACUGUCAGGUUUGGCUUUUCUGAGAUGGAAUAAAAUGAAAAGAAAAGUUUUGGCCUUUGGGUAUGAGAGGUAGAGAUGACUGAGUUUUUCUCGGUGAGGAUAAGGAGAGAUAUAGGGUUGUGCCAGACACAGCAGUGAUGAGAGCAGGAGAAGCAGAAGCAUAAGAGAGACUGAUAAGAAGAAACAAAGCCAAAAAAAUGUAAGAAAUAAUAAAAAGAAGGCAAGAAAUGCAAUAACGACCCUUUAGUAGCUAGCACACACAAACACACGCUCUCUCUAUCUAUCUAUAUGUAUUUUUGUAUCUUUCUUCCUUUGUUGUGUGUUCUCCUUCGUGUUGUUAUUUGUUGCCUCAUAAUCAUCAUCAUCGCUUCUUCUUCUUUCCU
This 411-nucleotide unclassified non-coding RNA is filed under the name Hevea brasiliensis (rubber tree). Lineage: Eukaryota; Viridiplantae; Streptophyta; Magnoliopsida; Malpighiales; Euphorbiaceae. The record is from RNAcentral.